Molecule: ribosomal RNA, 301 nt
Filed under: uncultured bacterium
Lineage: Bacteria
Description: partial 16S ribosomal RNA
Rfam family: Bacterial small subunit ribosomal RNA
Source: RNAcentral
CAGUAGCCACGGUAAUACGGAGGGGGCUAGCGUUGUUCGGAAUUACUGGGCGUAAAGCGUGCGCAGGCGGUUCGUUAAGACAGAUGUGAAAUCCCCGGGCUUAACCUGGGACCUGCAUUUGUGACUGUAUAGCUAGGGUACGGUAGAGGGGGAUGGAAUUCCGCGUGUAGCAGUGAAAUGCGUAGAUAUGCGGAGGAACACCGAUGGCGAAGGCAAUCCCCUGGACCUGUACUGACGCUCAUGCACGAAAGCGUGGGGAGCAAAUAGGAUUAGAUACCCCCGUAGUCCCUGUCUCUUUACA